RNAcentral lists this ribosomal RNA (466 nucleotides) under uncultured bacterium. RNAcentral's name for it is "partial 16S ribosomal RNA". It matches the Rfam family "Bacterial small subunit ribosomal RNA", at positions 28 to 507 of the family's 1533-position model. The record is from RNAcentral.
GACGAACGCUGGCGGCGUGCUUAACACAUGCAAGUCGAACGGCAAGGCCCUGCUUGCAGGGUCCUCGAGUGGCGAACGGGUGAGUAACACGUGGGUGCACUGCCCUGCACUUCUUGAUAAGCGUGGGCAACUGGGUCUAAUACCGGAUAGGAGACAUCUCUAGUGUGGGGGUUGGAAAGAUUUUUCGGUGUAGGAUGAGCUCGCGGGCUAUCAGCUCGUUGGUGGGGUAAUGGCCUACCAAGGCGGCGACGGGUAGCCGGCCUGCGAGGGUGUAGGGCCACACUGGGCUCCAGAUACGGGCCAGACUGCGAAGUGAUGCAGCAGUGGGGAAUAUUGCACAAUGGGCGCCAGCCUGAGGCAGCGACGCCGCGUGGGGGAUGAAGGCCUUUGGGUUGUAAACUACUCUGGCUGUGGACGACGCUUUUUUGUGACGGUACCUAGAGAAGAAGCACCGGCUAACUACGUG